Long non-coding RNA from Pogoniulus pusillus (Red-fronted tinkerbird), 1369 nucleotides. RefSeq lists it as uncharacterized. NCBI's taxonomy places the organism in Eukaryota, Metazoa, Chordata, Aves, Piciformes, Lybiidae. The transcript is spliced from 2 exons. The record is from RefSeq and is a predicted model, not a curated record.
GCCCCGCGGCCCGGCCGCUUCCGGCGUUCGAGCGCCGUGGCGGGAGCCGCGGCCGUCGGCUCGGCGGGUCCGGCCCCCGUGAGACUGAAGAAAAGGGCUUCCCGAGGGGUACUACAGCCAGCAGCGGACCCCCAGCAGCAGAACCCCAGCAGCAGAACCCCAGCAGCAGAACCCCCAGCAGCAGAACCCCAGCAGCAGAACCCCCAGCAGCGGAACCCCAGCAGCAGAACCCCAACAGCAGGCUGUUUGGUCGUUGCUCCUGGGUUUGAGUCUUACAGCGCAGGACAACCUGCAUGACCCAGUGGCUAACUCCUGUGCUGAGAGGGCUCUGUGCUGCUGCACUGCUGAGCUGCUCACCCCUUUGCUGAGCUCACGAGCAGGAAACUGCAGCUGUGUGGUGGAGAGUUGCACAGGCCACCUUAUUUGGUAUGUUUUGGCCUGUUGCCAAGCCCUCAUUGGACAGAAUUGUGGCCCAAGGACCAUCAAUCGCGAGGUCAAAACCUUGCUCUGCCUGACCACCCAUCUGCUACUAGCAGCUUCUAGCCGUUUUUGGGGACCACCGCCGCUGCAUGACUACAGCCCAUAGCACCAGCCCAGGGAACUGACUAAGGCGCUCCUGGCCAGCUGCCGUCCCAGCCGCCGUUCCCAGCUGUGGGAGAAUUUCUCCCGCAGUGGGGCAUGAGCUGUAAACAUGAGACCUUGUGAUGGGACAAAGUCCUUGAGCUGGAAGGCACUGUGAGCUACCCAUGCACACCUGCUGAGGGCUGACCCUGCCAGCCCCCUGGGGUGGAACCACAGGUUGUUUUGAUAAGGAAUAACCUAUCUGUGCCUUACACAUAACUUUGAGCCAAUCUGUAUUGUCUACUUGUGCCAGCCCCAGUCUGGCUGGGUACACCUCCUCUAAGCACUAUACAAGACACUGCAUUACCCUAAUAAAAUGGCACUGAUGCACAGAAGCUAUAGAGUCGACUCGUCAGUGCCCCGAUCUGCAUCUCGCCAGCCUCCGGACCCCAACACCCAGCUUGGCCUGUACCCGUGGAAGCUCAGACAGUGCCCCCCAAUAACCCCUGAAUUGUUCCAAUCCACGAUAUUUGGGACUUUCAAACUGACUCCGGCCAGUGAGUAACUGAGAAACUCGAUCUAAGCCAGAAUAAUCUCUCAAUAGCCUACCAGUGGCACUUUCAUGCCACAGACUCUCUUCCUAAAUCCUUUCAAACCUUUGCUAAAUUCCCAAUUUGUUGUACAUAGACAUUCUGUAAUAUAAUCUCGAAACCGCAUACAAAGAACUUGUGUGGGGUAGUUGUAAAUAAGUUUGGGGAGGGAGGAUUCCUGGUGUAUAUAAUACUAAAUUAUUUAAACCCUUUUAAAA